This 468-nucleotide ribosomal RNA is filed under the name uncultured bacterium. Its description in RNAcentral is "partial 16S ribosomal RNA". It matches the Rfam family "Bacterial small subunit ribosomal RNA", at positions 28 to 507 of the family's 1533-position model. The record is from RNAcentral.
GACGAACGCUGGCGGCGUGCUUAACACAUGCAAGUCGAACGGAAAGGCCCUGCUUUUGUGGGGUGCUCGAGUGGCGAACGGGUGAGUAACACGUGAGUAACCUGCCCUUGACUUUGGGAUAACUUCAGGAAACUGGGGCUAAUACCGGAUAGGAGCUCCUGAUGCACGGUGGGGGUUGGAAAGUUUCGGCGGUUGGGGAUGGACUCGCGGCUUAUCAGCUUGUUGGUGGGGUAGUGGCUUACCAAGGCUUUGACGGGUAGCCGGCCUGAGAGGGUGACCGGCCACAAGGGGACUGCGAUACGGCCCAGACUCCUACGGGAGGCAGCGGUGGAGAAUAUUGCGCAAUGGGCGGAAGCCUGAUGCAGCAGCGCCGCGUGCGGGAUGACGGCCUUCGGGUUGUGAACCGCUUUCGCCUGUGACGAAGCGUGAGUGACGGUAAUGGGUAAAAAAGCACCGGCUAACUACGUG